GCCUCUACAAGUGUGACAUCAGCGGUCAUGGAGAGUCUCCAUCCAGCUGGAUCACUGUCACAGAAAAACAUAUAACCACGCCCCCUGACUCGUCCUUACUCCACUUUGUGAUUAGACUGCUCUUCCACCUGGUGAUGUUCUGUCCAUAUGUCAUCUCCACUCUCCUCAUGGUGUCUUUGUAUCGAAAGACAGCUAAAGGAAAAAACAUCCGUGUCUCAAUCCUGCCCAUUCAGCCUGAGCAGGGACUGGACAAUGAGCAUUAUGAUGUCAUCUCUGAUGUCACCACAGAGUAUCACUUCUGAAUCAGAGCUUUGGUGCUUCUCUUUAGGUCUCACUAACUUUGUCCUCUCCACCUCUGUUGUGAAUCUUAUCUGAAUAAAAGGACUCUGAUGUUCAUCGCUGGAUAUUUUUGUGUAGAUAAACAGCAAAUGUUCCCAAGAAAAUCUGCUGGAGCUCUCAAUAGAAAUUAUAUUGACUUAUGAUUUUAUACCCCACACUCAGUCACUACAACCAAUGUUAGGGUUCCUCCACCUGCUGAAUCCACUUUAACCUCUGACUGUGCACAUUUUACUGUUACAGGCAAAGUCACCGUCUACAAUGUAGGUGACUGAAAAUAAAGAUAUAGCUUUUAUUUUCCUUCUUUUCCUUCAGAUUCAAGCUUAGUAUGAUUAAAAUUAAAAGAAGUCAGACUAAAAUUUGUACUCUCAUCCCCUAUAUUAUUUUAUUAUUAUGUUAACAUAGCUCAAAGUUCAGUUAGCUUUGAAGAAAAACAGAAAAGUCCUAAAAAGAGCUACUUUAUACUUUCUUACUUUGAGUACAUCUCAGAGCCUGCACUUUUCUACUUAUACUUGAGUAAGGAACUUGAAUCAGUACUUCAACUUUUACUGGAAUAUUUUUUACAGUAGUGUUUGUAUUUGUACUUAAGUACAGAAUGUCUGUACUUUUGCCAACUCUGCUUGGUCUGAGCAGGAGCUCAUCAGAUUGAACUAACUGGUGUCCUAUUCUUAAUGUUUCUGACUAAAUUCAGAAACAUUAAGGUUGUUGCUGCUGUGCACUCACAGAUACUGAUGGUCUGAUGAAGGCCUCUACAAGUGUGACAUCAGCGGUCAUGGAGAGUCUCCAUCCAGCUGGAUCACUGUCACAGAUCUGACCUCUGACUCCUCCUUACUGCUUGUGAUCAGAGUGGUCCUCCAUCUGGUGGUGUUCUGUCCAUACUUCAUCUCCACUCUCCUCGUGGUGUCUUUAUAUUGACAUUAAAUAUUUAUAUCGAUAAAUUAAUAUGCUGAUGAUUAACUCUAUGUAUCUGAACUCUUGAUCAAUAAACGGCUGACACAAUU
Molecule: long non-coding RNA, 1337 nt
Organism: Oreochromis aureus
Lineage: Eukaryota; Metazoa; Chordata; Actinopteri; Cichliformes; Cichlidae
Exons: 4
Source: RefSeq, a predicted model, not a curated record